This 508-nucleotide ribosomal RNA is filed under the name uncultured bacterium. RNAcentral's name for it is "partial 16S ribosomal RNA". It matches the Rfam family "Bacterial small subunit ribosomal RNA", at positions 29 to 523 of the family's 1533-position model. The record is from RNAcentral.
AUUGAACGCUGGCGGCAUGCCUUACACAUGCAAGUCGAACGGCAGCGGGGGAGAAGCUUGCUUUUCCUGCCGGCGAGUGGCGAACGGGUGAGUAAUACAUCGGAACGUGCCCUGUAGUGGGGGAUAACUAGUCGAAAGAUUAGCUAAUACCGCAUACGACCUGAGGGUGAAAGUGGGGGACCGCAAGGCCUCAUGCUAUAGGAGCGGCCGAUGUCUGGUUAGCUAGUUGGUGGGGUAAAGGCCUACCAAGGCGACGAUCAGUAGCUGGUCUGGGAGGACGGACAGCCACCCUGGGACGGAGACACGGCCCAGACUCCUACGGGAGGCAGCAGUGGGGAAUUUUGGACAAUGGGCGAAAGCCUGAUCCAGCAAUGCCGCGUGUGUGAAGAAGGCCUUCGGGUUGUAAAGCACUUUUGUCCGGAAAGAAAUGGCUCUGGUUAAUACCUGGGGUCGAUGACGGUACCGGAAGAAUAAGGACCGGCUAACUACGUGCCAGCCGCCGCGGUAA